Molecule: ribosomal RNA, 253 nt
Filed under: uncultured bacterium
Lineage: Bacteria
Description: partial 16S ribosomal RNA
Rfam family: Bacterial small subunit ribosomal RNA
Source: RNAcentral
UACGAAGGGGGCUAGCGUUGCUCGGAUUUACUGGGCGUAAAGGGCGCGUAGGCGGACAGUUAAGUUGGGGGUGAAAGCCCGGGGCUCAACCUCGGAAUUGCCUUCAAUACUGGCUGUCUUGAGUGCGGGAGAGGUGUGUGGAACUCCGAGUGUAGAGGUGAAAUUACGUAGAUAUUCGGAAGAACACCAGUGGCGAAGGCGACACACUGGCCCGUUACUGACGCUGAGGCGCGAAAGCGUGGGAGCAAACAGG